UUGGAGGGCAAGUCUGGUGCCAGCAGCCGCGGUAAUUCCAGCUCCAAUAGCGUAUAUUAAAGUUGUUGCAGUUAAAAAGCUCGUAGUUGAAUUUCGGGAUCAAUGGAUCGGUCAUGCCGUUGGUAUGUACUGGUUUUAUUGAUUCUCACCUUCUAAAGAACCAUGAUGGCAUUAAUUUGUUGUUGUGGGGAAUUAGGACUGUUACCUUGAAAAAAUUAGAGUGUUUAAAGCAGGCUUACGCUUGAAUACAUUAGCAUGGAAUAACGAAAUAGGACAUCGCAUUCUAUUUUGUUGGUUUCUAGGAUCGAUGUAAUGAUUAAUAGGGAUAGUUGGGGGCAUUAGUAUUCAAUUGUACGAGGUGAAAUUCUUGGAUUUAUUGAAGACUAACUACUGCGAAAGCAUUUGCCAAGGAUGUUUUCAUUAAUCAAGAAC
Molecule: ribosomal RNA, 432 nt
Filed under: uncultured Glomus
Lineage: Eukaryota; Fungi; Glomeromycota; Glomeromycetes; Glomerales; Glomeraceae
Description: SSU rRNA
Rfam family: Eukaryotic small subunit ribosomal RNA
Source: RNAcentral